RNAcentral lists this ribosomal RNA (497 nucleotides) under uncultured bacterium. RNAcentral describes it as "partial 16S ribosomal RNA". It matches the Rfam family "Bacterial small subunit ribosomal RNA", at positions 28 to 507 of the family's 1533-position model. The record is from RNAcentral.
GACGAACGCUGGCGGCGUGCCUAAUACAUGCAAGUUGAGCGCUGACGGUUGGUACUUGUCCCGACUGGAUGAGCAGCGCACGGGUGAGUAACGCGUGGGGAAGCUGCCUUUGAGCGGGGGACACCAUUUGGACACGAAUGCUAACACCGCAUAAAAACUUUAAACACAAGUUUUACGUUUGAAAGAUGCAAUUGCAUCACUCAAAGAUGAUCCCGCGUUGUAUUAGCUAGUUGGUGAGGUAAAGGCUCACCAAGGCGAUGAUACAUAGCCGACCUGGGAGGGUGAUCGGCCAACUUUGGACUGGGACACGGCCCAAGCUCCUUCGGGGGGCAGCAGUAGGGAAUCUUCGGCAAUGGGCGAAAGUCUGACCGAGCAACGCCGCGGUAGGUGAGAAGGUUUUCGGAUCGUAAAACUCUGUUUGUAGGGAAGGACGUUGGUGGGAGUGGAACGCUCAUGGAAUGACGGUAACUACCCAGAAAGCGCCGGCUAACUACGUG